Molecule: ribosomal RNA, 301 nt
Filed under: uncultured bacterium
Lineage: Bacteria
Description: partial 16S ribosomal RNA
Rfam family: Bacterial small subunit ribosomal RNA
Source: RNAcentral
CAGUCGCCGCGGGAAUACGAAGGGGGCUAGCGUUGUUCGGAAUUACUGGGCGUAAAGCGCACGUAGGCGGACAUUUAAGUCAGGGGUGAAAUCCCGGGGCUCAACCCCGGAACUGCCUUUGAUACUGGGUGUCUUGAGUGUGGAAGAGGUCAGUGGAAUUGCGAGUGUAGAGGUGAAAUUCGUAGAUAUUCGCAGGAACACCAGUGGCGAAGGCGGCUGACUGGUCCACAACUGACGCUGAGGUGCGAAAGCGUGGGGAGCAAACAGGAUUAGAUACCCCAGUAGUCCCUGUCUCUUAUAC